GCAGGCUCCUCACAGGCAGCCCGACACAGGACUCGAUCCCAGAACCCCAGGGUCACACCCUGAGCCCAAGGCAGACGUUCAACCGCUGAGCCACCCAGGGGCCCCGCCUUUUCAUUUUCUUAACAGCAGGGCCAGACCCAGGAGAUGGGAGUGCAUGGGCUGCCCAGGCACCCACAGAGCGGUCGCUGCUCACUCCCUCUCUGCUUUUCCCCCCACGUGUGCCCCACGUGUGGCCAGGCAGGGGCAGGGAAUGGGAGGCUCCCGGGAAGGACUGGCUUGUUUGCCUGCAGAGACCCUGACCUGCUGACCUUGUGCUGACACUCGCCCUCCCUUGACCAAGGCCAGCAAGGGCUCGGCAUGUUUUCAAUUCUACGGGGUGAGGACAGAGGAUGCGUGUGCGCAUCCACACACAGCAGGCAGUUCUCUGGAGGCAGGAACUUCAUGGACCCUUUUUUGCAGAUGCAGAGACAGUGGCACUGAGUCAGCAAGAGGGGAGCCCAGAAGGACCCGUAGGUCGCUGUGUUGCCACACGGAUGCUCCAACACAAGCCCGGACAGUAGCUCUGAAGGGCCAGGGUUCGCAAUGUCCCUGCCACCUGCCUCCAGGGACUCAGCGGCGUCCCUGUGAAUACUGGGCCAAGGACAAGGCAACCUCAGCUCACCUGAGCCUGAGCUCCGGGACCCUCUGACUCUGAUCUCGACACGGGGCUUGAGCUCACGACCCUGAGAUCAUGACCUGAGCCAAAAUCAGGGGUCAGAUGCUCAACACAUGGAGCCCCCCCAUGCCCCAGGUCUUCCCUGACCUACGAAAAUCCUUCAUCUGUGCGACCCCCCAGCAUACGCUGUCGGCCUGGAGCCUCCAGACACGGGGCACUGCUGUGCCUCUGAGGGGCCCGCGACUCUCAGGGUUUACUGGACGGUAAGUGACCCUUCAGGGUCCCGGGAAGCUCGCCUCCAAGUUCCCUAGAGACGAACACUGUCCCUGGCCCUCUCCCAACUCCCACGCGUCUAACCAGGCCCCCGGGCCCCAGGGCGGCUCCUCCUGCCCACGGGGCCUGUCUCCCGCCUUCAGUAAAACUGAAGACGUCUGAAGAACUCUUUCUUGGCCAUCGGCCCCUGAACCCCAACACCUCACGUCAGCCGUAGCAACCGAGGAGACCCACCCUCAGGUCCCCCGUGGCUGCUCCAGAAACCCCCCUGGGCAGAGCGGCUUCAAGCAACAACAUUGCUCCGUUCCUGUAGGUCAAGUUCCAAUAAGAAGAAGCGAGUCCGGGGAAUCACAUCACAAUUUAAAGCUCCGGGCAGGGCGGCCCCGCUGGGAGUUGGGGGGGCCCUGGGGUCCAAGGAAGGGAGCUGAGGGCCCAUGGGACGGGUGUGCGGGGAGGUCCACGGGGCCUGCGUGCUGAGCCCUUUUCACAGCGGCGACCGCCCCGAGCGUGGCCCAGGCCCAGGGUAGGACAUCACAGCCGAGCGGCCGUCCUGCGUGGAAGGGGAGUGAGCUCCCAGCCGCCACACUUGCUCUGGAGGGGGAUCUGCGGGCAGAGGCAGGUCUUUAUGCCCUGCGGGUGUGCCUGGGACUGUGGCUGUGACGGGGCCACAGGCGGAGGGAGCCACGGAUGACGGUAACCGGCCCCGGAACCUGCGGCCCCUGGCAGAUGCCUCCAGGACUCCGGGCCGUGGACUCUGGACCCCACGAAGUUUACCAACAUCCCCAAACUACAUCAGCUGGCCGGGAAGUAAUGCAUGGUCGGGGGUUGGGGACCGUGCUCACGAAGGCCCUGAGUGGCCUUCAGGACGGGUCAUUCCAGGUUGGCACCAGUCCGGUCUCGCAACGACGGCCAGUGACCACUUGGGAUCACUCCCGGGGCCGUCAGGAGGCGCCGCCGCUACAGGGAGGGGGAGACCGGGGGCAGGCUGGGCUGGUUCCCAGGUCCUGGCGCCCCAGCCGCUGCGGGUGGCCGGCCAUCUCCGACGCUUCCUGUCUGGCAGGUGACCCAUCACACCGUGUCUGCCUCCACCUUCCCACGACACUGUCCCGCGUGUGUCCGGGGCCCCAACUACAAGGACACCAGUCAUGUCGCAUGGAGGCCCAGCCUCGUGACCCCAUCUUGUAUGGAUCUGGGGGUGGGUGGACACCGUUCAACCUCCACCAUGCUUGGGUCUCGUUAGGAAGCUCGCUGGAGCUCAGGGCCCCCAGAGGAUCCUGGAGCGCCCACAGGACAGCGGCCCCCAGGCCUGCGGCCGGCUGCUGCCCAUGCGUCGGGCUCCGGCUCCCCGGGCCGCUGGCCUGCUACAUCCCUAACGUCGAUAAGCCACACUCAUCAGCUCAUUUUGAAGUUUUGCACAGAAAAUUUUUCUUCAACUUUAUCACAAAGGUGCUCCCCACAUUCUGUUCCAGAAACUUGCUCCUUCUCCCCUUGCGGGAACGGUCUCAGGCUCCCGGGAUUCGGGCCCGUCCGCGGUGAGGUCGGAGGAGCCUCUCCCGACACGGAGCCUCUCUCUCAGUGCCGCCUGUCCCGUGAGCCCUGUCUGCACCGGGGUCACCCCCGCCAACCACCAAUGGCUCCAGGUGACCCUCUGGUCUCUAGUCUGUUUCUGGCGGCUGGACACAGGUGUGAGGGACGCCUCCCCACGCGACUUCCUUGCCCUGACCUCGAGGCAAAUCAAGCAUUUCGCAAAAGCUCAACAGAAAGGACAAAGAAAAGCCUCUUCAUAGAGCAACCCCUCUGCGGCCUGGCCGCCCAAGUGGGAGAGGGCGGAGGGACCCCACGGGCCAGGACAGGGCCACAAAGACGGGCCUGUCCCCAGGACAGUCGGGCCCUGUUUGUGGGGAUGUUUGCUGGCAGCACAGCUGGGCUCGGACGCUGGGUGGGCGGCUCAGCACCCCCAGGCUCCCGGCUCCCCGCAACCUGAGACCCUCUGCGUCCCCACUGCCCCUGGGCUGGCCGCACGGAGCCGUGCAUGCAGGUGACUGGUUAGGGACACAAAUCAAGCCAAACUACACUCGAGGCCAGGUCCUCCCCUGCUCCGGGCAGGUGGCCCGGCCCCUCUGUGCCUUGUUCUUCACGCAAGCCCGCUUUCUGGGCACCGGGCCCCCGGGGAUGCCCAGGAGGGUGGGGCUCAGUCAUCCCCCACUCUGGCGGCCUUGGACCGCGAUGCCCUGAGGACAGAGAGCAAGGUGACUCCUCACACCUACCCUGUGGCUGUGUGACUCACUUGCAUCCCAGAAGUGGUGGGGAAGCCCUCCCAGGAGCCCAGAGGCCCCGCAGGCUGGUGGGCCUGGAGCCUCUCGGGCGCAGGGCUGCAGGGGGCUAGGGAGCCGGGGCCUGGGGUCGUGGAGAUGAGGCCCCCCACAAGCUGUCCAGGAAGCAGAGGGGACAGAGAGCGAUGGGGCAGGCGGUGGUCUGUGGACAGUGGGCAGAGGGAGUGAGAGGCGUGCAAGGAAACAGGUGUAGGUCCUGGGGCUCCCGAGAGGUAAGCGACUCAGCCAGAAGCUAGUGACCCCAAAGCCCAGGCCAUCCUGGCGAAGGCAGGGCCAACCUUGGUCUCCCAGCCUGGGGCUUGGGGAGGACCUUCCUCUCCUGGGGAGAGAAGGCCAUGGUGGUCAAGGCUGGGAGGUGGCCAGAGGGCACGACACACCCAGCUCCCCCUGACCGAGCCCUGCUGGAUGGACUGCCCCCACGUGGUCGGGGCUCUGAGGCCUGGGGCUGGGCCAGGCUCAGGGGCCACCAGCUGACAGACGGCCCUGUCCACCCCCAACCCCCAAGGCACAGCCUUGCACUGAGUGCCCCGUGGUUGCCCCUGCCGGUCACACGGAGACCCCAGGAAUGAGCCCCCCACAGAGCCUCAGCCAGGGUUGGUCCACGGGCUGCUGGGGGGCGGUGGGGGACACAGAUCAACAGGCCCGGUCUGGCCCAGGGCCUCCGGGCACCACAGCGCAGAGCCGCCAGCAGAGGGUGCCAGAGGCCUCCACCAAGGGUGGAGGGGGCAGGGCGGGCACUGGUGGUUCGGGGACCUGGGGGUGCAAGUGCAGCCCACCGUGCUGGGAGACCCCUCCACUCCCGCCCCAUAGCUGACCACCCACCCCGUCCCAAGUUGGUUAACACCCUUCUCCCGGGCACCUCCCUCAGCGUGGGGCUAGGCCUCAGCUUGGCCUCUCAGACUCAAGGCCUCCACCCCUCCGGGGGCGCCCUGAGGUCCCCCUCCCAUCUGGAGUUACAGGCCUUGGGCCUUCUGGACAUCUGACCUGGGAGAACCACAGCACGCAGAGUGCGCAGGGCGCCCCGGCCCCUCACCCCCUGGGAAUAUCCACUGGGGUACACAUGGGCACCCCCACUGGAGUCGGGGGUACGUGGCCUCACUUGGAAUGUCCACAGCCAGCCCAUCCCCAGCUCCAGGAGACAGACGCGUGGCUGCUAGGAUA
Molecule: long non-coding RNA, 4422 nt
Organism: Canis lupus familiaris (dog)
Lineage: Eukaryota; Metazoa; Chordata; Mammalia; Carnivora; Canidae
Exons: 3
Source: RefSeq, a predicted model, not a curated record